CAGGAAACAACAUCUACCUUCAAAAUAAGGGCGGAGGAACUUACCAUUGAGGUGUGGUCAUGCCACUGACUGACUGGAGAAGCUGGAAUCAGACUGGAAGAACUGGGAGGCAGAAGCAGAGCAGUGGUCACUCAGUGAAUCCCAGCUCCCCCAUCAAACCUUAGAUGGGAUUUAUGAGAAAACCACGGGAAACCGGCCUGACUCACCGGCCUCUUGUGAUCGAGUCUAUCUCCGCUCAGGGAGAAAGGAGACAAGGGAACGAUCUGAGGGAGGAAACAGAAGGACAGACUGAAAGAGGAGGACAGAGAUGGUGUAAAAUCUCUGAUCAGAUGGUGAUGCUACGAAGUGGAUCAACAUUUCCUUCGGCUGUGGUUGUAAUGCAGCACCAAACCAUGACCGUACUUCCUCCGUGCUUUAACUCUCACUUUUCAACUUGCCUCUGUAGUGAUUCCAGUUCUAAGGAUGGUUCUGGUGUAACCUGUUUGUCUGGUUUCCAUCCAUAAAGAACUCACCAGGGUCUAUCUGAUGCUGCCAUAUGGAGAGUUGACACCUCCUAACCUGCUGUCUGUUCAGAAGAGACUUCUGUGGUUACCCACCUGUGAUGGAUUGAUGGACACGCUGCUGCGUCUGUACCGGGCCGAGGACACGGGACUGAAGACGGUCAUCCCAU
Girardinichthys multiradiatus is the source of this 670-nucleotide long non-coding RNA. RefSeq lists it as uncharacterized. NCBI's taxonomy places the organism in Eukaryota, Metazoa, Chordata, Actinopteri, Cyprinodontiformes, Goodeidae. The transcript has 3 exons. The record is from RefSeq and is a predicted model, not a curated record.